UUUAGUUCAGAGUGGUGCAGUAUUCUAGUCAGCACAGCUAUUCUCGAAGGCGGGGCUAAAAAUCCGUCAAAGGGCAUAUCGAUGAAGUUUCUAACCUUGGCUUUUGACGCCCAGUUGAGGGCCAUUGUUGGAAGUAAGAAAGAUGGGGCGAUCUGCAAUGGCAUGCAGGCGUUGACCCUACUUUCGUGGAGACUUGUUUUUAAUUAAAAAACAAGAUAAACCUGUAAAGUAAUAAAAAUUACUUGCAGUGUAGCCUGCCUUGAGUGAAUUGGGCAGAAGAUAAUAUAUAACUAGGCUUUUCAAGGGGCCCAGAAAAGUCAGGUUUUGUUGUCGAAACCCAUUUUGCAAAAGAGGCUAAGGAAUAGACUGACUGUUUGGGGAAAACUCCUAGACUGUUCUUCAGAAAUAUGUUAAGGAUUACAGUGCGGUCUAAGUGGUAAUCUAGUUUCACUAUUUGGCGACAAUGUGAAGAUAAGAUUGAAGGGUAACCGCUAGUAUGGCGACAUAGAGUUCUUAUCUGGGAAAUCCUGCUAGACCUUAAGCCGUAAGAUUUACUUAUCAUAUUGCCACUCAAAA
This 576-nucleotide small RNA is filed under the name Anaerosalibacter massiliensis. Lineage: Bacteria; Bacillati; Bacillota; Tissierellia; Tissierellales; Sporanaerobacteraceae. The record is from RNAcentral.